RNA transcript from Columba livia (rock pigeon), 1921 nucleotides. It is a transcript of the gene named WD repeat domain 73, with no coding region annotated. The record is from RefSeq and is a predicted model, not a curated record. The transcript has 12 exons. NCBI's taxonomy places the organism in Eukaryota, Metazoa, Chordata, Aves, Columbiformes, Columbidae.
CCAAACGCUUUCCCACCUCUUUUGACCCUCCCCGCCUCCCGUACGCGUCACACGGGCGCGCCGCUGCGUGACGUCACGAGCGCGCCGGGCGGUGUUGCCAUGGAGAUGGCGGGCGGCGAGGAGGAGGCGGCGGACGAAUGGCUGAUCCAGUCACUGCGAAUGUACGAGGAGCUUCACACCUUCGAGCUCCAGGCGCCCACCCGCGUCAUCGAAUGGGCCCGGGGGAACCGUGUCUGUGUAGCCGGGUAUGAGGACUCCGGUGGGAACGAGAUCCUGCAGCUGCUCCCGCCGCCAACGCUGCAGGCGAAGGAGACACAGGGCCUGUGUCCAGAGAGAGAUUUCAAGGUGGAAUGCGGUGCAUUUUCAAACCGCCCGGUGUACGGCCUGAAACACGUUCCGGACACCAGCUUGCUGGUGACGAGCGGCCCCCCCGACAGCUCCCUGCGGGUCUGGCAGGUGUCAGCGGAGGAUUCGGAUGUCAUUAAACCCGUCGGUGCCAUCGCUGCAGAAAACGACGCUGGCCAACCUUGGGCUAAAAUCGCAACGAUUUCGGCCAAAGCCCCGUGGGUCCUUCACGGCUCGAGACUCGACAGCGUCCGAGUUACGGAGGUUGAAUCGAGGAAAAACGUCUACACAGCAGCAUCCAGAACCAGCGAGGAGCUCAGCGACGUGGCGUUCCUGGACAGGAACACGGCGCUGCUGUGCUGUGCCGAGGGCCAGCUCUCCCUGGCCGACGUUCGGCAGGCUCAGGCUCCCUUGGAGGCCGCGUCCGUGCCCUGGGCGCCGUGUGGCGAGCGCUGGCGCAUGGGGGUCGCAGCUCAGGGCUCCGAUCCCGGCUCCCGGCCCGUCGCCCGUGUCUCGAGCGGGGGGCACCUCAGCCUGACGGACGUAAGGAAAACCUCGGAGUCCUUGGCUUGGGUGAAAUGCCGAUUUCCUCGUCCCAGCUCGGGCGCGGAGUUCCUGCGCGUCUCCUGGGCUCCUGCGCUGCAGGGCUGCCUUGCUGUCUCAGGUUUCGAUGGCACCGUGCACGUGUACGACACGCAGCGCUGGGACAGCUCCGGCCGGGAAGCCGAGCCGAUAUUUAUCCACAAAGGCCACGCGUUGGGCGGAGCGGACAGCGGCGACGGCCCGUCCCUGGUGACAACGCACGCGUGGCACCCGCAGAAACCCAGAACCGUAUUGUCAGCGGCGAGCGACGGUUCCCUGCACGUCUGGGAGUGGGUUCGGCCCUGAGGGAAGCGUGGGCCCCGAGCGCCGAGGGGAAGGACGCGCGCCCCGCGGGGUGGGGACAUCGCGUCACUCGUGUGCGUGUCACGAGGAGCCGCCACCGCUCAGGAAGUCGCAGCCUUGCAAAAAGGAACAGGAACGACAUUUUCAGCCCCGGCCUGUUGGCAGCUUUACCCUCCCCCAACUGCAGAGCGCCCGCUCGAGAAAAAAGGACCUUGGUAUCUUUUGGCUCUUUUCCCACCAGCCGAAAGUUUAAAUUUGAUCAAGCUAAUGUGAUUUCCUGGGCCCGAGGAAAGCAGGCGAUGACUCCUGCAACGCCUACGCUGUUACCAAGCACCUCAAGGCCGUUCUUGUGAGGUAAUCCCACCACCCUCUGGCCACCGUUUUGAGCCCUGAUGUGACUCUGUUGCCCUUGGUGCCACCAUUUUGUGUCUGAGGCGAUUUUGCUGCCCCUGGUGCCGCCAUUUUGUGUCUGAGUUCAAAGCUCACAGGCUGCAAACACACCCAUUGGGAUGACACAAGCCAAACUGGCAUCUUCGGUGGCCAAACAGCCAGAACACGGAAACAUCACAGAUAACGGUGGAGAAACCGAAGGAGCAAGGUACCCGUGACCAAGUACAAAGAAACCACUUUACAAAAAAAUAGAAAGGAAAAAAGAAAGAAAAAUAAAAUUUAAAAGUACCACGUUGCCCAA